UACGUAGGGGGCAAGCGUUGUCCGGAUUUAUUGGGCGUAAAGAGCGUGUAGGCGGUUUGGUAGGUCCGUUGUGAAAACUCGAGGCUCAACCUCGAGACGCCGGCGGAAACCAUCAGACUAGAGUCCGGAAGAGGAGAGUGGAAUUCCUGGUGUAGCGGUGAAAUGCGCAGAUAUCAGGAAGAACACCCGUGGCUAAGGCGGCUCUCUAGUACGGUACUGACGCUGAGACGCGAAAGCGUGGGGAGCGAACAGG
This 253-nucleotide ribosomal RNA is filed under the name uncultured bacterium. RNAcentral describes it as "partial 16S ribosomal RNA". It matches the Rfam family "Bacterial small subunit ribosomal RNA", at positions 524 to 776 of the family's 1533-position model. The record is from RNAcentral.